This 270-nucleotide long non-coding RNA is filed under the name Lathyrus oleraceus (garden pea). Its description in RNAcentral is "Pisum sativum (pea) long non-coding RNA (PSAT_LNC034566)". The record is from RNAcentral. Lineage: Eukaryota; Viridiplantae; Streptophyta; Magnoliopsida; Fabales; Fabaceae.
AAAAUGCUCCUCAAGGUGUCUAGAUUAUGCACACAAAAUUUCAUCUCCAUCCAAUUAAGCAUCAUCAUUUCAUGAUCAAAAUGGUAAACAAGGUGCAACAAAUGACAUGUGAAAACAAACCCUAGCCAAAACAGAAAUCCACAUGUGCACAAUUUCCACCAAAAUCAUCAAAAAAUAGUAGACAUGGCAAGGAUCAUCAUGGAAAAAAUCUCAUAUUAAUUGGACAAAUAUUGAAUGAGUUAUGAUUUUUCUAUUGAGAAGAAAAAAUAA